This 1150-nucleotide long non-coding RNA is filed under the name Anas platyrhynchos (mallard). Its description in RNAcentral is "lncRNA (ENSAPLG00020006218.1)". Lineage: Eukaryota; Metazoa; Chordata; Aves; Anseriformes; Anatidae. The record is from RNAcentral.
AUGGCACCAGCAAUACACAGUUUAUGUGCACAAAGCUCCUGGGAUGCACACGGGGGAUUAAAGCACAGGGAACCAGAUCCUAAACCACCAGAAGAAAAUGUUCAAUUCACGCCUUUCGUCUUUUCUAACAACUGCACUUCUGCGUACUUGAGCCACUCUCCGAAUAUCACUGGUUACAAGUAUUUGACACGAGGCGAUGCCAGGAAGCACUUUUGCUGGGUUUUGUUUUUCUGUGGAUGCAGAGCGCUGCCUAAAAAAAUCCCCAGCGAGAAAUACUUGACUGUCGUGGCCGCGCGGCCUGGAUUUUUCUUCCAGCACCAUGAGAUUUCAGACGGGUGUGCUUCUUGGUGUGCUAUGCCUGCUUCUCUCUACUGGACAGCAACAGAACUUGUGCUAUAUUGGCAUUUCAGACCUAUGAACCACGUAUCAGCUGAAUUCUGCUGAGAGGAAACUGUAUAAAUGGAAGACUAUGCAGGGCCAUUUCAACCACAGUACAUAAUUGAAGCCCCAGACCAUACUGAUUAUGGAAUUUAAACAGUAAACAGCCCACUGAUUUGCUGCCUUAAAUACGUAAUUUUUCAUCUCCAUCUUCCCCAGAUCCUGGAGAGGCUUUUAAGUUUAUCCUCAAGGCCAAAUAAUAUCUAAUAUGCUUUUGCAAUUCCACUCUUCUGUUCUCCUCCCAUACUCCUCUUGUGAACCUGAAUUGUUUCCAGUGGCCACGUCCGGCAGCCAGAAAAUGAGAAUUUGGAUGUGUGGUGCAAGCUUAUCUCAACAGUUCAGGUAUAAACAAGCAGAAAAGCGAACAUUAACCAGAAUUGUUUACAAUUUGUACACUGACCUGGCAUCUGCCACUUCAUCAGCUAUGUCUGUUAGAAGAUAGAUCCUCAUCUCUAUUUUCCACUAGGACAGAGGAAGUUCCUUCAACUACUUGCGUGCUUGUGCCAAAAACGUAACUGCAGUGAUGAUCAUGUGCAUCAAAACGAGAGAGGGCCAGCAGAGGACAGCAACUUCAUCCUUGUGCAGAAAAGAUGAACUGAAAUGAAGAUAACAAAAGCAAGAAGAUGAAUAGAAGAUCAAAGGAGAACAUACUGCUUUUUUCCCUCAAGGGUCUGAUACUCCAACCAUUAAAUCAAUGUCAAAACUCCCACUG